This 739-nucleotide ribosomal RNA is filed under the name uncultured bacterium. RNAcentral describes it as "bacterial SSU rRNA". It matches the Rfam family "Bacterial small subunit ribosomal RNA", at positions 57 to 832 of the family's 1533-position model. The record is from RNAcentral.
GCAAGUCGAACGGAAAGGUCUCUUCGGAGAUACUCGAGUGGCGGACGGCUGAGUAACACGUAGGAAUCUGCCUCUAAGAGGGGGACAACCCAGGGAAACUUGGGCUAAUACCCCAUAUGGCGCGAGCUGAAAUGAUUUUUCGCUUAGAGAUGAGCCUGCGUUUGAUUAGCUAGUUGGUGGGGCAAUAGCCUACCAAGGCAACGAUCAAUAGCUGGUCUGAGAGGAUGAUCAGCCACAAUGGGACUGAGAUACGGCCCAUACUCCUACGGGAGGCAGCAGUGGGGAAUUUUGCGCAAUGGGCGAAAGCCUGACGCAGCAAUACCGUGUGUGGGAAGACGCCCUGUGGGGUGUAAACCACUGUCAGGAGUGAAGAAUUUGACUGUAGCUCCAGAGGAAGCACCGGCUAAUUCCGUGCCAGCAGCCGCGGUAAUACGGAAGGUGCAAGCGUUGUCCGGAUUUAUUGGGCGUAAAGAGUUUGUAGGCGGCUUAGUAAGUCUGAAGUGAAAGAAUGGAGCUCAACUCCAUCCACGCUUUUGAAACUACUAAGCUAGAGAAUGUUAGGGGUGAGUGGAAUUUCCAGUGUAGCGGUGAAAUGCGUAGAUAUUGGAAAGAACACCGGAGGCGAAGGCGGCUCACUGGGACAUUUCUGACGCUGAGAAACGAAAGCUAGGGGAGCGAAAGGGAUUAGAUACCCCUGUAGUCCUAGCCGUAAACGAUGAAUACUAGAUGUCAUGGGAAU